UACGUAGGGUGCGAGCGUUGUCCGGAAUUAUUGGGCGUAAAGGGCUCGUAGGCGGUUUGUCGCGUCGGGAGUGAAAACACACAGCUUAACUGUGUGCUUGCUUCCGAUACGGGCAGACUAGAGGUAUGCAGGGGAGAACGGAAUUCCUGGUGUAGCGGUGAAAUGCGCAGAUAUCAGGAGGAACACCGGUGGCGAAGGCGGGUCUCUGGGCCGAUACUGACGCUGAGGAGCGAAAGCGUGGGGAGCAAACAGG
This 253-nucleotide ribosomal RNA is filed under the name uncultured bacterium. RNAcentral's name for it is "partial 16S ribosomal RNA". It matches the Rfam family "Bacterial small subunit ribosomal RNA", at positions 524 to 776 of the family's 1533-position model. The record is from RNAcentral.